GGUAUUUUGACUAUACGAAGGUAUUGAAAUAAGAUUUUAAAUGAGUGCUAAGAGAAUGAUUAAACAAUUAAAAGCUUUCUUUAAUUAAAUAAUUGAAUUUAAUUUUUUUAGUGCAAAAGCAAAAAUAAAAAUUAGGGACAAGAAGACCCUAUGAAUUUUUUAUUAAAUUUUAUAAAACUUUAUAUAAAAUUUAAUUUAAUUGGGGUGAUGGAAAAAGAAUAAAUAUCUUUUUUUAAAGAAAAUUGGUUCCGUUUUUAGCGAUUAAAUGAAAAAAAUACUCUAGGGAUAACAGCGUAAUAAUUUUGGAUAGUUCAUAUAGAUAAAAUAGUUUGCGACCUCGAUGUUGGAUUAGGAUUCUUUUUUGGUGAAGAAGU
This 374-nucleotide ribosomal RNA is filed under the name Ixodes ricinus (castor bean tick). RNAcentral's name for it is "partial large subunit ribosomal RNA". Lineage: Eukaryota; Metazoa; Arthropoda; Arachnida; Ixodida; Ixodidae. The record is from RNAcentral.